AGUGAAUAGAUACCCUGGUAGUCCUGGCAGUAAACGGUGCGCGUUUGGUGUGGGAGGAUUCGACCCCUUCUGUGCCGGAGCUAAACGCGUUAAACGCGCCGCCUGGGGAGGUACGGUCGCAAGAUUAAAACUACAAAGAAAUUGACGGGGGCCCGGCACAAGCGGUGGAGUAUGUGGCUUAAUUCGAUGCAACGCGAAGAACCUUACCUAGCCUUGACAUGCAUCUCUAAGUCGGUGAAAGCCGGCGAGUGUAGCAAUACACAAUUUGCACAGGUGCUGCAUGGCUGUCGUCAGCUCGUGUCGUGAGAUGUUGGGUUUAAGUCCCGCAACGAGCGCAACCCCUGUGAACUGUUGCCACCUACAUUCGUGUAGAGCACUCUGUUCAGACUGCCCUGUGAAA
Molecule: ribosomal RNA, 400 nt
Filed under: uncultured bacterium
Lineage: Bacteria
Description: bacterial SSU rRNA
Rfam family: Bacterial small subunit ribosomal RNA
Source: RNAcentral